This 336-nucleotide ribosomal RNA is filed under the name Metagonia cf. rica Car130. Its description in RNAcentral is "bacterial SSU rRNA". It matches the Rfam family "Eukaryotic small subunit ribosomal RNA", at positions 1473 to 1804 of the family's 1831-position model. The record is from RNAcentral. Lineage: Eukaryota; Metazoa; Arthropoda; Arachnida; Araneae; Pholcidae.
UUAGAUGUCCGAGGCAGCACGCGCGCUACACUGAAGGAAUCAGCGUGUGCUCUCCCCGUCCGUAAGGACCGGGUAACCCGUUGAACCUCCUUCGUGAUAGGGAUAGGAGCUUGUAAUUGUCCUCCUUGAACGAGGAAUGCCCAGUAAGCACGAGUCAUAAGCUCGUGUUGAUUACGUCCCUGCCCUUUGUACACACCGCCCGUCGCUACUACUGAUUGAAUGGUUUAGUGAGGUCUUCGGACUGGCGCUCGGAGCGGUCUCCCGACCGGGCCGGCGUGCCGGAAAGAUGACCGAACUUGGUCAUUUAGAAGAAGUAAAAGUCGUAACAAGGUUUCC